Molecule: ribosomal RNA, 253 nt
Filed under: uncultured bacterium
Lineage: Bacteria
Description: partial 16S ribosomal RNA
Rfam family: Bacterial small subunit ribosomal RNA
Source: RNAcentral
UACGGAGGGUGCGAGCGUUGCUCGGAAUUAUUGGGCGUAAAGCGUACGCAGGCGGCUCGGCAAGUCGAGUGUGAAAUCCCGGGGCUCAACUCCGGAACUGCAUUCGAUACUGCCGGGCUUGAGUGCGGGAGAGGGAAGCGGAAUUCCUGGUGUAGAGGUGAAAUUCGUAGAUAUCAGGAGGAACACCGGUGGCGAAAGCGGCUUCCUGGCCCGGUACUGACGCUGAGGUGCGAAAGCGUGGGGAGCAAACAGG